AGUCGAGGGGUAGAGUUCUUCGGAACUUGAGACCGGCGCACGGGUGCGUAACGCGUAUGCAAUCUACCUUUUACAGAGGGAUAGCCCAGAGAAAUUUGGAUUAAUACCUCAUAGCAUAGCAGCUUCGCAUGAAGCCGCUAUUAAAGUCACAACGGUAAAAGAUGAGCAUGCGUCCCAUUAGCUAGUUGGUAAGGUAACGGCUUACCAAGGCUACGAUGGGUAGGGGUCCUGAGAGGGAGAUCCCCCACACUGGUACUGAGACACGGACCAGACUCCUACGGGAGGCAGCAGUGAGGAAUAUUGGACAAUGGGCGCAAGCCUGAUCCAGCCAUGCCGCGUGCAGGAUGACGGUCCUAUGGAUUGUAAACUGCUUUUAUACGAGAAGAAACACUCCAACGUGUUGGAGCUUGACGGUAUCGUAAGAAUAAGGAUCGGCUAACUCCGUGCCAGCAGCCGCGGUAAUACGGAGGAUCCAAGCGUUAUCCGGAAUCAUUGGGUUUAAAGGGUCCGUAGGCGGUUUAAUAAGUCAGUGGUGAAAGCCCAUCGCUCAACGGUGGAACGGCCAUUGAUACUGUUAAACUUGAAUUAUUAGGAAGUAACUAGAAUAUGUAGUGUAGCGGUGAAAUGCUUAGAGAUUACAUGGAAUACCAAUUGCGAAGGCAGGUUACUACUAAUUGAUUGACGCUGAUGGACGAAAGCGUGGGUAGCGAACAGGAUUAGAUACCCUGGUAGUCCACGCCGUAAACGAUGGAUACUAGCUGUUGGGUGCAAACUCAGUGGCUAAGCGAAAGUGAUAAGUAUCCCACCUGGGGAGUACGUUCGCAAGAAUGAAACUCAAAGGAAUUGACGGGG
This 852-nucleotide ribosomal RNA is filed under the name Flavobacterium sp. 001xTSA12A_H04. RNAcentral's name for it is "bacterial SSU rRNA". It matches the Rfam family "Bacterial small subunit ribosomal RNA", at positions 60 to 918 of the family's 1533-position model. Lineage: Bacteria; Pseudomonadati; Bacteroidota; Flavobacteriia; Flavobacteriales; Flavobacteriaceae. The record is from RNAcentral.